GCCCAGGUGGCGAAAUCGGCAUACGCACGGCACUUAAAAUGCUGUGACCCGUAAGGGUCGUGCGGGUUCGAGUCCCGCCCUGGGCA
RNAcentral lists this transfer RNA (86 nucleotides) under Planctomycetota bacterium. RNAcentral's name for it is "Planctomycetes bacterium (rhizosphere metagenome) tRNA-Leu". It matches the Rfam family "tRNA". Rfam says of the family: Transfer RNA (tRNA) molecules are approximately 80 nucleotides in length. Their secondary structure includes four short double-helical elements and three loops (D, anti-codon, and T loops). Further hydrogen bonds mediate the characteristic L-shaped molecular structure. tRNAs have two regions of fundamental functional importance: the anti-codon, which is responsible for specific mRNA codon recognition, and the 3' end, to which the tRNAs corresponding amino acid is attached (by aminoacyl-tRNA synthetases). tRNAs cope with the degeneracy of the genetic code in two manners: having more than one tRNA (with a specific anti-codon) for a particular amino acid; and 'wobble' base-pairing, i.e. permitting non-standard base-pairing at the 3rd anti-codon position. The record is from RNAcentral. Lineage: Bacteria; Pseudomonadati; Planctomycetota.